This 324-nucleotide ribosomal RNA is filed under the name uncultured eukaryote. RNAcentral's name for it is "partial 18S ribosomal RNA". It matches the Rfam family "Eukaryotic small subunit ribosomal RNA", at positions 1470 to 1796 of the family's 1831-position model. The record is from RNAcentral.
CCCUUAGAUGUUCUGGGCUGCACGCGCGCUACACUGAAGCUAUCAACACGUUUUCCCUCCCUGAGAAGGGCGGGUAACCUUUUGAAUCAGCUUCGUGGUAGGGAUCGGGGCUUGCAAUUGUUCCCCGUGAACCAGGAAUUCCUAGUAGUCGCGAGUCAUAAGCUCGCAUCGAUUAAGUCCCUGCCCUUUGUACACACCGCCCGUCGCUACUACCGAUUGAACGUUUUAGUGAGGCAUUUGGACCGACGCAUCUCAGUUUAACCGCUGGUUUGUGUUGGAAAGACUUCCAAACUUGAGCGUUUAGAGGAAGUAAAAGUCGUAACA